Molecule: ribosomal RNA, 895 nt
Filed under: Fusarium incarnatum
Lineage: Eukaryota; Fungi; Ascomycota; Sordariomycetes; Hypocreales; Nectriaceae
Description: LSU rRNA
Rfam family: Eukaryotic large subunit ribosomal RNA
Source: RNAcentral
GCAUAUCAAUAAGCGGAGGAAAAGAAACCAACAGGGAUUGCCCUAGUAACGGCGAAGUGAAGCGGCAACAGCUCAAAUUUGAAAUCUGGCUCUCGGGCCCGAGUUGUAAUUUGUAGAGGAUGCUUUUGAUGCGGUGCCUUCCGAGUUCCCUGGAACGGGACGCCAUAGAGGGUGAGAGCCCCGUCUGGUUGGAUGCCAAAUCUCUGUAAAGCUCCUUCGACGAGUCGAGUAGUUUGGGAAUGCUGCUCUAAAUGGGAGGUAUAUGUCUUCUAAAGCUAAAUACCGGCCAGAGACCGAUAGCGCACAAGUAGAGUGAUCGAAAGAUGAAAAGCACUUUGAAAAGAGAGUUAAAAAGUACGUGAAAUUGUUGAAAGGGAAGCGUUUAUGACCAGACUUGGGCUUGGUUAAUCAUCUGGGGUUCUCCCCAGUGCACUUUUCCAGUCCAGGCCAGCAUCAGUUUUCGCCGGGGGAUAAAGGCUUCGGGAAUGUGGCUCUCUCCGGGGAGUGUUAUAGCCCGUUGCGUAAUACCCUGGCGGGGACUGAGGUUCGCGCAUCUGCAAGGAUGCUGGCGUAAUGGUCAUCAACGACCCGUCUUGAAACACGGACCAAGGAGUCGUCUUCGUAUGCGAGUGUUCGGGUGUCAAACCCCUACGCGUAAUGAAAGUGAACGCAGGUGAGAGCUUCGGCGCAUCAUCGACCGAUCCUGAUGUUCUCGGAUGGAUUUGAGUAAGAGCAUACGGGGCCGGACCCGAAAGAAGGUGAACUAUGCCUGUGUAGGGUGAAGCCAGAGGAAACUCUGGUGGAGGCUCGCAGCGGUUCUGACGUGCAAAUCGAUCGUCAAACAUGGGCAUGGGGGCGAAAGACUAAUCGAACCUUCUAGUAGCUGGUUUCCGUG